AAUAAAUGAAUUUUUAAGUUUUUGGAAAGAAUUUUUGACUCUUCGUUUUAUUUAAAUUUUUUUAUGAUUAAUAUUUUUAUUGAUAUUAUAUGAUAAAAUAUGAAUAGUAUUUUACAUGUGACUAAUUUUUUUAAUUUUUAAUAAAUUUUUUAAAUAAGACGUAUGGUCAAAUGCUUAAUCAAGAAAACUCAG
Molecule: microRNA precursor, 192 nt
Filed under: Oryza brachyantha (malo sina)
Lineage: Eukaryota; Viridiplantae; Streptophyta; Magnoliopsida; Poales; Poaceae
Description: MIR812 microRNA precursor family
Rfam family: MIR812 microRNA precursor family
Source: Rfam by way of RNAcentral